AUUGAACGCUGGCGGCAUGCUUUACACAUGCAAGUCGAACGGUAACAGGCCGCAAGGUGCUGACGAGUGGCGAACGGGUGAGUAAUGCAUCGGAACGUGCCCAGUCGUGGGGGAUAACUACUCGAAAGAGUAGCUAAUACCGCAUACGAUCUAUGGAUGAAAGCGGGGCACCGUAAGGCCUCGCGCGAUUGGAGCGGCCGAUGUCAGAUUAGGUAGUUGGUGGGGUAAAGGCUCACCAAGCCAACGAUCUGUAGCUGGUCUGAGAGGACGACCAGCCACACUGGGACUGAGACACGGCCCAGACUCCUACGGGAGGCAGCAGUGGGGAAUUUUGGACAAUGGGCGCAAGCCUGAUCCAGCAAUGCCGCGUGCAGGAAGAAGGCCUUCGGGUUGUAAACUGCUUUUGUACGGAACGAAACGGCUCUGGUUAAUACCCGGGGCUAAUGACGGUACCGUAAGAAUAAGCACCGGCUAACUACGUG
This 482-nucleotide ribosomal RNA is filed under the name uncultured bacterium. Its description in RNAcentral is "partial 16S ribosomal RNA". It matches the Rfam family "Bacterial small subunit ribosomal RNA", at positions 30 to 507 of the family's 1533-position model. The record is from RNAcentral.